GACUGAGGGGGGCUGCUCCUAGUACGAGAGGACCGGAGUGGACGCAUCACUGGUGUUCGGGUUGUCAUGCCAAUGGCACUGCCCGGUAGCUAAAUGCGGAAAAGAUAAGUGCUGAAAGCAUCUAAGCACGAAACUUGCCCCGAGAUGAGUCUUCCCUGAGACUUUGAGUCUCCUGAAGGAACGUUAAAGACGAUGACGUUGAUAGGCCGGGUGUGUAAGCGCAGCGAUGCGUUGAGCUAACCGGUACUAAUGAACCGUGAGGCUUAACCUUACAACGCCGAAGGUGUUU
RNAcentral lists this ribosomal RNA (289 nucleotides) under Salmonella enterica. Its description in RNAcentral is "partial 23S ribosomal RNA". It matches the Rfam family "Bacterial large subunit ribosomal RNA", at positions 2660 to 2925 of the family's 2925-position model. RNAcentral also lists the same sequence under 1 other name. Lineage: Bacteria; Pseudomonadati; Pseudomonadota; Gammaproteobacteria; Enterobacterales; Enterobacteriaceae. The record is from RNAcentral.